GCUAUUUUGGCAGAGAAGUGCAGUGGAUUUAGAAUCUACGAAUAUAGGGAUAUCUAUAUAUAGUA
RNAcentral lists this transfer RNA (65 nucleotides) under Sigmella digitalis. Its description in RNAcentral is "tRNA-Leu". The record is from RNAcentral. Lineage: Eukaryota; Metazoa; Arthropoda; Insecta; Blattodea; Blattellidae.